CCCGGGGCCACAGGAAGCACGCUGGGGCUGGGGGCCGGAAAGCGGGCUAGGGUUCGCUGAGUCCACAGGGACGAGUGACAGCGCGUGCUUGCGGAGGCCGGGCAGCCGGGGUACCAGGUGAAAACCGGCUGGGAACAGGCGAGAGGAGGAGGAGACGGGACAAGCAUGCUGUCCUCAGCUGGGCCAGGAGGAACCGGUCCCAGCCCCACAGGACCUUGUCCCCGGUGACUCUCGGGCCCCGUCAGCAGCGGGAGGAGGGCGGGAGUCCAAGGAGGUCGGAGGCGUGAAGACGAGGACGGAGCAGAGCCUGGAAAAGACCAGGAGACACCCAUCCUGGAGACCUCGGAAGGAGCCUGCCCUGGGGACGCCUUGGGUAUUUCCGACCUCCGGCCCUCCCCAGCCCCGCUGUGCACCCCAUGCUGGGGGACAGGAUGAGCUGUAAGAGAAUAAACCUGUGUUAAAACCCCA
This 468-nucleotide long non-coding RNA is filed under the name Chinchilla lanigera (long-tailed chinchilla). Its description in RNAcentral is "lncRNA (ENSCLAG00000023229.1)". Lineage: Eukaryota; Metazoa; Chordata; Mammalia; Rodentia; Chinchillidae. The record is from RNAcentral.